AGGUGGGAGGUGGGAGUGCGAGCAAUCUCCCUCGUCACCCUUCUCUCUCUUUCCCUGUCGCGAUGUGCCCUGAAAACUGCAGCGAUUCUCCCAGGAUGAGAAGUGCUGCUGCUCCAGAUCAGUCUGAUAUUAAUUAAUAAAGCCCUGAUUUCGGUAUAGUGUAUUGGCUGCCCACAGGGGCAGCCUCUGUGAGGAGAGGUCGGGGCUGCCCCGCGUCUGCUCCAGCCGCCUCCUCACAGACCCGCGGCCCAACCCGGUCGACCCCGUCAAGCAAGCUGGUGGCACCUCCGUGAAAACGCAUUGAAGAAAAGAGCAAAACGGCUCAGGGCAGAGAGAAGUGAGGAGAAAAGUGCGAGAAACAGCCCUGCAAGCACCCAGUUCCUCCUCAAACAGUUACCAGGAUGCAGUACGUGGAGUUUGGAAGAGAACUGAGCGUCAGUCUGGGUAUUACUGCUUGCCAGAGCUCCUCCUCUGGAGUCAUAUCAAGUGACUUUCCUCCUCACACAUGUCCCAGUGAAUACAACUGAAGCCUGCAGGAAAAAAUCUGCAGAUGGCUGACAUGAUAGAAGGACAACAACGACAACAACACAGCAACUCAUGAGAUUUUUAAAUGAUAUUCAGAGAUCAAGUUCUUCAUGUGAAUACGUGAGUUUAAUCUUUUUGUAUAAUUAAGGUGCAACUGCACACAUCAUGUUGAAUGUGGGACUUCUUGUUGCAGGGAGAAUUAUCAGCAACAUUUUUAUUUCUCCCUAAUGAAGCUUUUCUAAUGAAAUUUAAGACCGCCAAGGUUGCAAGAUAUUUGAAAUAGGAGCCCAUUUCAAACAUUUCAGCCAAAUAAUGGUGAUAAUAUUAGCGGGUUGUGGGAAUCAAGUCUCUGCACAGUAUUUUACAAGAAAAUAUGCUAAGGGGAGCGGGCUAAACAAAGCAAAGCAAAACAAAACGAUGUGUCCCAAACCAAAAAGAGUACACUACUUGUUAUUUAGCCAAAUGUUUUGACCUGUUGGUGGGGACGUAGAAGAGGCAUGAGAAUUGUCUGGAUAGUUUGACUCAAUAACUUUACAAUUUAAUUCUGCAUCGCACUGGAAGAUUUUUUUUUUUUGGAAGAGAUGCAAAUUAGACUAAUUAAAUCAAAUUAUUUGGUGCAGACUCAUUUUAAGUGAAUUUUCAAAAUAUAUUUUUAAAGGUUUUGGGAUGUUUCCAAAGCUACAAGCACUAAUUAUUUUCAGGGUAGCUAUACUCUUAAGUCUUUCUUAUUUAUACGCGUAACGUUUGAGGCCACACAAUGCCUUAAAUUCCAA
Long non-coding RNA from Cygnus olor (mute swan), 1298 nucleotides. RefSeq lists it as uncharacterized. The record is from RefSeq and is a predicted model, not a curated record. The transcript is spliced from 3 exons. Lineage: Eukaryota; Metazoa; Chordata; Aves; Anseriformes; Anatidae.